CAAAUCCCGUCGCGCCAUCUUCUCCAAUCGGCUGGCUCGCUCGUCCUCCCAAUCCUCUCUCUCACCCCACUCUCGUCCUCUUCUCCUCCUUUGGCUCUUCUCCCUCUUCCUCCAGGCUCCCACCCUCCAAUCUUUGUGUUGUCCUCACUUCCCCAAUCCCCAUCCCCAACGUGGAGCUCAUGGCCCAUGGUGCCCCACCUCCUCUAUCCCUUUACUCUUUCUCAUGCCCUAGAUCGUCCUUGUACACAACAAGAAGGGCUUCUGGUCUAGGUGUUGGAGGAAUAAGUGGUGGCAAGAAGAGGAGCAAGAGGAGGAGAAGGAAGAAUGAAGAAUGGAAGAUCCCCACCUUCUCUGUCCGAUUUCUCUUGAUCUAGCUCAAAGGGUGGACCAGUUUGUACGUUAACAAGGUUAAGGGGCUACAUAUCCAUUGGAGCGGAUAGAGUGUGGCUGCAGUCUUCCUUUGCGCGCAGAUUGAGUAUCUCCUCCAAUUUAUUUAAACAGUUCUCAGUGAGGUGAUGUUGAUUUCGUCACUUUCAUAUGGCCCCACCUCUGUAGUGGAAAGGCCGAGAAGAUUGAGUGGUGUGGUUUGCUUAUUUGAGAAUUUUAGUGACGGCUUUGCUUGAGAAGCUCAUGGUUUCAAGCCUGACAGAGGCUAUUGCAUCCAAGGUUACCAGAUCACAGAACCUGCAGGCAGUGAGAUGAUGCUGGCAGGAGGACUGCAAUUUCCAAAGGUAAUAUUGCUACAGGUGCGGUAUGCGGCGCAGGGACUGGGUUCAAUGGCUUCUUCUUCUGCCAGCAUGACUGUGCCAUCUUCUCCAUCUCUCCAUGACGCAGCCACAUGUUCAUCUGAUGGACACCAGCGGGUCGCCACACGUGGAGGAAACGGAAAGGUGUUUCAACUCUUGCAUUUUGCAAGGUGGGUCAAAGAGAACAAUAAUAGGCCCCGACUGCCAUGAGACUUUACUUGUAUUCCGGAUAUUGGUAUGACCCAAUCCAAAACUGAUGUGAAGCUUUAAUUUCGGUGAUGAUUUACAACAACCUGGAAGCGGGUCUAUUGUUAUAUGAAGGAGAAGGCACAUAGCACAUACUGAUUUAUUUCUACAGGCAAUCAUCAUUGCGUUUUGUUCCAAUGGUGCUAUUUGGAAGAAUUUCUUUGUUUGAACAUUCUUUUACCUUCUUCGUAAUAUUUCCAAGUGCUUUGUUUUCUCUGUGUUCAAAUUGAAAGUACAUUUUAUGGUUUCUACGAAAUUAGCCUUUUCCAUGUUGUGAUUUCAAGCAUGAUGACGAGUCUUGCUUUCAUGGCAAAACAAAACUAUCUGGUACUCAGUUUGUUCUUCUGAGUAUAGACUUUGCAUUGUUGUUUCUCGAGCUAGAUUUCUCAUAAAUCUUUAAGCAUUAUGUUGUCUUAUUACAGAGAAGUAUUUUCUAUAAGUGGAAACUUGGAUGCCUCUCAGUUUAGCUCAGAAUCUGUGAUGUUUGCUUUGCUCUAAAUUUAUGGUUUUCGCCUAUCACCUUGUGUUUCUAAACUUAUGAUGCAGGUGGUUGACGCUUCGACCUCAAAGACUGGUAAGCAUGGUCAUGCUAUGUGCCACUUUGUUGCCGUAAAUAUAUUUCUUCAAUGGUAAAAACUUGAGGAUAUUGUUACUUCAUCCCAUAGCUUGAUGUACGUUUUGAUAUAUAAUUGUUCAGUUAAGAAUCUGGUUCGUUCAGAAUUAACUCAUAUAAGAUAUCUGCCUAUUCUGAUGGCUAAUGAGUUUUGCAUUGCAUUGUGAGAUAUUUAGUUCAUAGAUUACCCGUUUAGGCGGUUCCAUAUCACUACUUGCUUGAAUUGAUAUAUUACAUAUGCAUAUUUCUUAUAUAAUGGAAACAGUGGGUUUAACUAUUGGUCUGCUACCUUAUGCUAAAUACUUGAUUUGUUGUUCUCUCGCUACAUGGAAAUGCUAGAAAAUCUAAGAUCUGUAAUCAUAUGCUUCCUCUUUGGAAAGAUGCUUGCAUCAUUUGUAUUCUCCCUAGCUGUAGGUAUUUGAAUUUCAACUCUGAAAAUUAUCUUUUUUAGAUUUUUAGACUGAACAUUAUCGCUAUUAAACUAGAGUAGUUUUCAGAUGCUACAUAUAUAUGGCAUGUCCUGAUGCCAUAUGCUACAAAGAACUUAAUUUAUUGAUGAACGGGUUUUAUGGAUAUUUUCCGCUGAUUGGUCUUCUCCAUUUUUUUUCUUGAAGGUGGAUUUGGACCUUGGAAACUAAACGAUGAAACAAUUUAGCCAAUGUUGCAAACUCAGAUUUCUAAAUAUCAUGUAGAGGGCGUUGUUGUGCCUGUGGGUUGCUCUCGGUGGUGAUGCCUGCUGUUCGAAACAAAAACAAAAACAAGUUUUGCUCUCAAUCCCCUGCCAUCCCCUCCCCGUCUCAUUUUCCUCAUGUCAAGAUUGAUUCAUUUUCUUGCAUAUUCAAACUUUGUACCUGAAUAUUUCCGGGUUGUGAAGAAACUGUUUGAUAUUCAGUGAUAUGCCCUUUCCCAAAAACCUUAAUUGUGCAUUCUAGAAAGUAACCUUAAUUGGUGUCCCUCCACACAGUUGUAUAAACGAAGCGGUAUGAUUGGAUGGUAUUUGAUGCUGAAUGCUACUCCAAAGAAAGGCAUCUCAUAUGUUUGGAGGAGUAUUCUCAAAGGCAUGAAUUGAAUUUGUUGAAAAUAGGAUUCAUCUGCCGAGUGGGCAAUGGUGAAAACAUAAGCAAUCACUGAAAAUCAAGGUAUGUGAAUCCUUUGGCCAGAAGAUGGGAUGUGGAGCUUUUCUGACAACACUUUGGCCUGAAGAUGCUGAUAUUAUUCUCAAGAUUCAUGUCCAAGAAGACACAGAGGAAAAGAAGUCUUGCUUUUACUGGAAAAGGCUAUGAUGCACUCUCUCUUUCCCAAUAAGGUGUUCAGCCUACCCCUAAGAAUGAAGCUCUUUAGGAAAGAAGACUUCUUUUUGCCUUGGAACAUGUCACACUUAGUUUAAUAUCCUGCUCUGACUCAAAAAAGUUGUCAUAGGAAAUUUUUAUACUGAAAUUGGAGUGUCUAACGUUUUGCCCUAUCUUAUGAUUGUUUCUGGUGGCAAUAGAAAUAAGGUAAAACAAAUGGUGAAUUUAUAAGAUUGGUAUAUGAAUUAUCCUAUUCUACUGUCA
Molecule: non-coding RNA, 3158 nt
Organism: Lolium perenne
Lineage: Eukaryota; Viridiplantae; Streptophyta; Magnoliopsida; Poales; Poaceae
Source: RefSeq, a predicted model, not a curated record